GAGAGCGGCGCACGGGUGCGGAACACGUGUGCAACCUGCCUUUAUCUGGGGGAUAGCCUUUCGAAAGGAAGAUUAAUACCCCAUAAUAUAUUGAGUGGCAUCACUUGAUAUUGAAAACUCCGGUGGAUAGAGAUGGGCACGCGCAAGAUUAGAUAGUUGGUGAGGUAACGGCUCACCAAGUCAAUGAUCUUUAGGGGGCCUGAGAGGGUGAUCCCCCACACUGGUACUGAGACACGGACCAGACUCCUACGGGAGGCAGCAGUGAGGAAUAUUGGACAAUGGGUGAGAGCCUGAUCCAGCCAUCCCGCGUGAAGGACGACUGCCCUAUGGGUUGUAAACUUCUUUUAUACUGGGAUAAACCUACCCUUCGUGAGGGUAGCUGAAGGUACAGUAUGAAUAAGCACCGGCUAACUCCGUGCCAGCAGCCGCGGUAAUACGGAGGGUGCAAGCGUUAUCCGGAUUUAUUGGGUUUAAAGGGUCCGUAGGCGGACUCGUAAGUCAGUGGUGAAAUCUCAUAGCUUAACUAUGAAACUGCCAUUGAUACUGCGGGUCUUGAGUAAAGUAGAAGUGGCUGGAAUAAGUAGUGUAGCGGUGAAAUGCAUAGAUAUUACUUAGAACACCAAUUGCGAAGGCAGGUCACUAUGUUUUAACUGACGCUGAUGGACGAAAGCGUGGGGAGCGAACAGGAUUAGAUACCCUGGUAGUCCACGCCGUAAACGAUGCUAACUCGUUUUUGGGUUUUCGGAUUCAGAGACUAAGCGAAAGUGAUAAGUUAGCCACCUGGGGAGUACGUUCGCAAGAAUGAAACUCAAAGGAAUUGACGGGGGCCCGCACAAGCGGUGGAUUAUGUGGUUUAAUUCGAUGAUACGCGAGGAACCUUACCAAGGCUUAAAUGGGAAUUGACAGGUUUAGAAAUAGAUCCUUCUUCGGACAAUUUUCAAGGUGCUGCAUGGUUGUCGUCAGCUCGUGCCGUGAGGUGUUAGGUUAAGUCCUGCAACGAGCGCAACCCCUGUCACUAGUUGCCAUCAUUCAGUUGGGGACUCUAGUGAGACUGCCUACGCAAGUAGAGAGGAAGGUGGGGAUGACGUCAAAUCAUCACGGCCCUUACGCCUUGGGCCACACACGUAAUACAAUGGCCGGUACAGAGGGCAGCUACUAUGCGAAUAGAUGCGAAUCUCGAAAGCCGGUCUCAGUUCGGAU
This 1200-nucleotide ribosomal RNA is filed under the name Chryseobacterium aquaticum. RNAcentral's name for it is "bacterial SSU rRNA". It matches the Rfam family "Bacterial small subunit ribosomal RNA", at positions 91 to 1298 of the family's 1533-position model. Lineage: Bacteria; Pseudomonadati; Bacteroidota; Flavobacteriia; Flavobacteriales; Weeksellaceae. The record is from RNAcentral.